UGAACGCUAGCUACAGGCUUAACACAUGCAAGUCGAGGGGCAGCAUUUUAGUUUUGCUUGCAAACUGAAGAUGGCGACCGGCGCACGGGUGAGUAACACGUAUCCAACCUGCCGAUAACUCCGGAAUAGCCUUUCGAAAGAAAGAUUAAUACCGGAUAGCAUACGAAUAUCGCAUGAUAUUUUUAUUAAAGAAUUUCGGUUAUCGAUGGGGAUGCGUUCCAUUAGUUUGUUGGCGGGGUAACGGCCCACCAAGACUACGAUGGAUAGGGGUUCUGAGAGGAAGGUCCCCCACAUUGGAACUGAGACACGGUCCAAACUCCUACGGGAGGCAGCAGUGAGGAAUAUUGGUCAAUGGGCGAGAGCCUGAACCAGCCAAGUAGCGUGAAGGAUGAAGGCUCUAUGGGUCGUAAACUUCUUUUAUAUGGGAAUAAAGUUUUCCACGUGUGGAAUUUUGUAUGUACCAUAUGAAUAAGGAUCGGCUAACUCCGUGCCAGCAGCCGCGGUAAUACGGAGGAUCCGAGCGUUAUCCGGAUUUAUUGGGUUUAAAGGGAGCGUAGGUGGAUUGUUAAGUCAGUUGUGAAAGUUUGCGGCUCAACCGUAAAAUUGCAGUUGAAACUGGCAGUCUUGAGUACAGUAGAGGUGGGCGGAAUUCGUGGUGUAGCGGUGAAAUGCUUAGAUAUCACGAAGAACUCCGAUUGCGAAGGCAGCUCACUAGACUGUCACUGACACUGAUGCUCGAAAGUGUGGGUAUCAAACAGGAUUAGAUACCCUGGUAGUCCACACAGUAAACGAUGAAUACUCGCUGUUUGCGAUAUACAGUAAGCGGCCAAGCGAAAGCAUUAAGUAUUCCACCUGGGGAGUACGCCGGCAACGGUGAAACUCAAAGGAAUUGACGGGGGCCCGCACAAGCGGAGGAACAUGUGGUUUAAUUCGAUGAUACGCGAGGAACCUUACCCGGGCUUAAAUUGCAACAGAAUAUAUUGGAAACAGUAUAGCCGUAAGGCUGUUGUGAAGGUGCUGCAUGGUUGUCGUCAGCUCGUGCCGUGAGGUGUCGGCUUAAGUGCCAUAACGAGCGCAACCCUUAUCUUUAGUUACUAACAGGUCAUGCUGAGGACUCUAGAGAGACUGCCGUCGUAAGAUGUGAGGAAGGUGGGGAUGACGUCAAAUCAGCACGGCCCUUACGUCCGGGGCUACACACGUGUUACAAUGGGGGGUACAGAAGGCGGCUACCUGGUGACAGGAUGCUAAUCCCAAAAACCUCUCUCAGUUCGGAUCGAAGUCUGCAACCCGACUUCAUGAAGCUGGAUUCGCUAGUAAUCGCGCAUCAGCCAUGGCGCGGUGAAUACGUUCCCGGGCCU
Molecule: ribosomal RNA, 1358 nt
Filed under: uncultured bacterium
Lineage: Bacteria
Description: 16S ribosomal RNA
Rfam family: Bacterial small subunit ribosomal RNA
Source: RNAcentral